GAAUGCUAAAAGAAUGGAAAUUUAAAAAAAAACUUUUUUAAAAAUAAAAAUUGAAUUUUUUUUAAUUUGUGCAAAAACAAUUAUAUUUAUUAAAGACAAGAAGACCCUAAGAAUUUAAGAUUUUACAAUUAAAAAGUUUUUUUUUAAAAUCUUGAUUGGGGCGAUCAAAAAAUAUUAAUAACUUUUUAAAAUUUAAAUUGAUCUAUUAUUAAUAAACUAAUGAAUUAAAUACUCUAGGGAUAACAGCGUAAUAAUUUUUGAUAGAUCUUAUUGACAAAAUAGUUUGCGACCUCGAUGUUGGAUUAGGAUUCUUUUUUAAUGAAGAAGUUAAAAAA
Molecule: ribosomal RNA, 335 nt
Filed under: Hyalomma rufipes
Lineage: Eukaryota; Metazoa; Arthropoda; Arachnida; Ixodida; Ixodidae
Description: partial large subunit ribosomal RNA
Source: RNAcentral